RNAcentral lists this long non-coding RNA (380 nucleotides) under Brassica rapa (field mustard). RNAcentral describes it as "long non-coding RNA (BRAP_LNC001892)". Lineage: Eukaryota; Viridiplantae; Streptophyta; Magnoliopsida; Brassicales; Brassicaceae. The record is from RNAcentral.
AAGAACGGCAUUGUGAGUUCCGGUUCCCAUGGGAGCUUGGAAGACAGAGUCAACCAUACCUUUGCCUCUGGUGAUGUCUUGUUGAUCAUCAGACGUGUCGUAGGCAAGUCCCCUCCAUCUGUCUCCAUCGGUUUGUUUGUCUUCUUUGACAGCGACCACUUUGAAUGAUCCGUUGCUCUUCUUGUUGUUGCUCUGUGUGAAUCUCGACGCGGUUACAACUUUCUUUCCCAAGAAGGUCGUAGCUGGGACUGAAGCAGCUCCUGCUCCUGACCCGUUCAAGCUCAACUACAACACACACACACAGAAACAAGCCAAACUCAGUUCUGAACUCAAACUUAGAUUCUAACGACGUAGUGAAGACGGAGAAGGAGACUGGUUGA